CUUCAACGACCCCAACCACAGCGGGCUGCCGGAACGGCCGCGCCCGUAGGUCGCCAGCAACGCCUGUGCCUC
RNAcentral lists this antisense RNA (72 nucleotides) under Micromonospora rosaria. RNAcentral describes it as "ASpks TB sRNA". It matches the Rfam family "ASpks TB sRNA". The record is from Rfam by way of RNAcentral. Lineage: Bacteria; Bacillati; Actinomycetota; Actinomycetes; Micromonosporales; Micromonosporaceae.